Molecule: ribosomal RNA, 2908 nt
Filed under: Serratia ureilytica
Lineage: Bacteria; Pseudomonadati; Pseudomonadota; Gammaproteobacteria; Enterobacterales; Yersiniaceae
Description: 23S ribosomal RNA
Rfam family: Bacterial large subunit ribosomal RNA
Source: RNAcentral
GGUUAAGUGACUAAGCGUACACGGUGGAUGCCUAGGCAGUCAGAGGCGAUGAAGGGCGUGCUAAUCUGCGAAAAGCGUCGGUAAGGUGAUAUGAACCGUUAUAACCGGCGAUACCCGAAUGGGGAAACCCAGUGUGUUUCGACACACUAUCAUGUCAUGAAUACAUAGUGGCAUGAGGCGAACCGGGGGAACUGAAACAUCUAAGUACCCCGAGGAAAAGAAAUCAACCGAGAUUCCCCCAGUAGCGGCGAGCGAACGGGGAGGAGCCCAGAACCUGAAUCGGCUUGUGUGUUAGUGGAAGCGUCUGGAAAGUCGCGCAGUAAAGGGUGAUAGCCCCGUACACUAAAAUGCACAGGUCGUGAGUUCGAUGAGUAGGGCGGGACACGUGACAUCCUGUCUGAAUAUGGGGGGACCAUCCUCCAAGGCUAAAUACUCCUGACUGACCGAUAGUGAACCAGUACCGUGAGGGAAAGGCGAAAAGAACCCCGGCGAGGGGAGUGAAAUAGAACCUGAAACCGUGUACGUACAAGCAGUGGGAGCACCUUCGUGGUGUGACUGCGUACCUUUUGUAUAAUGGGUCAGCGACUUAUAUUUUGUAGCAAGGUUAACCGUAUAGGGGAGCCGUAGGGAAACCGAGUCUUAACUGGGCGAAUAGUUGCAAGGUAUAGACCCGAAACCCGGUGAUCUAGCCAUGGGCAGGUUGAAGGUUGGGUAACACUAACUGGAGGACCGAACCGACUAAUGUUGAAAAAUUAGCGGAUGACUUGUGGCUGGGGGUGAAAGGCCAAUCAAACCGGGAGAUAGCUGGUUCUCCCCGAAAGCUAUUUAGGUAGCGCCUCGUGAACUCAUCUUCGGGGGUAGAGCACUGUUUCGGCUAGGGGGCCAUCCCGGCUUACCAAACCGAUGCAAACUCCGAAUACCGAAGAAUGUUAUCACGGGAGACACACGGCGGGUGCUAACGUCCGUCGUGAAGAGGGAAACAACCCAGACCGCCAGCUAAGGUCCCAAAGUCAUGGUUAAGUGGGAAACGAUGUGGGAAGGCAUAGACAGCCAGGAUGUUGGCUUAGAAGCAGCCAUCAUUUAAAGAAAGCGUAAUAGCUCACUGGUCGAGUCGGCCUGCGCGGAAGAUGUAACGGGGCUAAACCAUGCACCGAAGCUGCGGCAGCGACGCUUAGGCGUUGUUGGGUAGGGGAGCGUUCUGUAAGCCGUUGAAGGUGGCCUGUGAGGGUUGCUGGAGGUAUCAGAAGUGCGAAUGCUGACAUAAGUAACGAUAAAGCGGGUGAAAAGCCCGCUCGCCGGAAGACCAAGGGUUCCUGUCCAACGUUAAUCGGGGCAGGGUGAGUCGACCCCUAAGGCGAGGCUGAAAAGCGUAGUCGAUGGGAAACAGGUUAAUAUUCCUGUACUUGGUGUUACUGCGAAGGGGGGACGGAGAAGGCUAGGCUGGCCGGGCGACGGUUGUCCCGGUUUAAGCGUGUAGGGGGUGUGACCUGGUAAAUCCGGUUGCAUAUCAACCCUGAGGCGUGAUGACGAUGCACUACGGUGCAGAAGUAGUUGAUGCCCUGCUUCCAGGAAAAUCCUCUAAGCUCCAGGUAACAUUAAAUCGUACCCCAAACCGACACAGGUGGUCAGGUAGAGAAUACCAAGGCGCUUGAGAGAACUCGGGUGAAGGAACUAGGCAAAAUGGUGCCGUAACUUCGGGAGAAGGCACGCUGGCAUGUAGGUGAAGUCCCUCGCGGAUGGAGCUGAAGCCAGUCGAAGAUACCAGCUGGCUGCAACUGUUUAAUAAAAACACAGCACUGUGCAAACACGAAAGUGGACGUAUACGGUGUGACGCCUGCCCGGUGCUGGAAGGUUAAUUGAUGGGGUCAGCCGCAAGGCGAAGCUCUUGAUCGAAGCCCCAGUAAACGGCGGCCGUAACUAUAACGGUCCUAAGGUAGCGAAAUUCCUUGUCGGGUAAGUUCCGACCUGCACGAAUGGCGUAAUGAUGGCCAGGCUGUCUCCACCCGAGACUCAGUGAAAUUGAACUCGCUGUGAAGAUGCAGUGUACCCGCGGCAAGACGGAAAGACCCCGUGAACCUUUACUAUAGCUUGACACUGAACAUUGAGCCUUGAUGUGUAGGAUAGGUGGGAGGCUUUGAAGCGUGGACGCCAGUCUGCGUGGAGCCAUCCUUGAAAUACCACCCUUUAAUGUUUGAUGUUCUAACUCGGCCCCAUAAUCUGGGGUGAGGACAGUGUCUGGUGGGUAGUUUGACUGGGGCGGUCUCCUCCCAAAGAGUAACGGAGGAGCACGAAGGUUAGCUAAUCACGGUCGGACAUCGUGAGGUUAGUGCAAAGGCAUAAGCUAGCUUGACUGCGAGAGUGACGGCUCGAGCAGGUACGAAAGUAGGUCUUAGUGAUCCGGUGGUUCUGAAUGGAAGGGCCAUCGCUCAACGGAUAAAAGGUACUCCGGGGAUAACAGGCUGAUACCGCCCAAGAGUUCAUAUCGACGGCGGUGUUUGGCACCUCGAUGUCGGCUCAUCACAUCCUGGGGCUGAAGUAGGUCCCAAGGGUAUGGCUGUUCGCCAUUUAAAGUGGUACGCGAGCUGGGUUUAGAACGUCGUGAGACAGUUCGGUCCCUAUCUGCCGUGGGCGUUGGAAGAUUGAGAGGGGUUGCUCCUAGUACGAGAGGACCGGAGUGAACGCACCACUGGUGUUCGGGUUGUCAUGCCAAUGGCAUUGCCCGGUAGCUAAGUGCGGAAAAGAUAAGCGCUGAAAGCAUCUAAGCGCGAAACUUGCCUCAAGAUGAGUCUUCCCUGGGCCUUUAAGGCCCCUGAAGGAACGUUUAAGACUAAGACGUUGAUAGGCUGGGUGUGUAAGUGCAGCGAUGCAUUGAGCUAACCAGUACUAAUGAUCCGUGAGGCUUAACCUU